UCUCUGCUUGGGUGGGUCUCAGCCCAGCACCAAAUGGCCCAGGGAAGGGCAAGGCUUGUGUGGCUGGCCCCCUCAUGGUGAGUGGCUGAGUCCUCACAGCAGGGUGGCCUGGGGCUGAUGGACCGAGACACAGUCCACAUGGCACAUGGAGUCCUGGAGCCCAAAAUGCCAUCUCUUCCAUCCACCAGCAUCCAGAGAGAUGCCCCGCUGAGUUCAGGAAUGUCGUGGGUGUGUGUGUGGGAGUAGGGAAUGAGUAGGUGUCUGCAAGCUAGAGUCUCCACCAGGAGCACUCACUCUGGGCAAGGUUGGAGGCCCCCGCCAGCACACCCGGGCUGACUGGCCAGUGAGACUGCUCCCUGAGUGGUCUCCAAGUCUCUUCCAGUGCAUGCAGUGGAGCAGCCUCCCCCUCUGUCCUGGGGAGGUGGGGUCAGGAGGGGAAACUGAGACAGGACAGGGCCCAGCUUUCUAACCCCAGGCCAGGUGAGGCAGUAUCCUGAUGUCCGGAUUCCCUGCUGGGGAGGCUACAGAAGGAGUGGGAGAGAAUUGGACCCUAUGCGGCCGCUCAAGGCACCUACCAGCUGAGCCCCGAGCCAGCUCCCGCAUCACAUGUCUGCCCUUGGCCCUGUACCUAUUAUUACCAGUCCAGGGACCGAAGCGGGACAGACACAGCUCGCACGGGGAGCAGCGGGAGGUGGUGCGUCAAGGAGUAGAAGCCGGGCUCUGCGGGAAGACUUUGGAGGCCGGGAGAUGUGGGCGAGUAGGGAGCCCCCACCAAGACCUCUGUCUGCACUCUCCAGAUCCUGGCACCUGAUGGGAAGACACUGGCAACCCACCAAGUGUUUGCUGCUGAGAGCUGUGAAGGGUCUUCAACAGGAGCAGCCGGACCACAUAAGCUUCUGAAAGGCCCUCCUGGCUGGAAAUGAUGUCAUGGGAAGGGGCCAGCACCACAGCCAGAGCUGAGUUUCAACUGUCAGGGGUAAGAGGAAGAAGCUGCCGAGGGCUGAGGACACCCCGAUGGGAAGGGAGCAGAGGUACUGGGAGGCUGGUGGCCCCAGACGGUGGGGGGAUAGAGGAGUCGGGUCAGCAGGCCAGGCUGCUCCACCUGGGAGAGCAGCAGGGACUCAGGUGCUGGCGACAGGAGGGUUUUGUUGGUUUAUUUAUUUACCUCUUAAGACUGGAAAAGAUGUACAGUAAGGGUGUGGAGAGGGAAAGGCCUCCUCCACCCUUCCCCAUUCCCCCUUUGCCAAGACCUGUGUCCUGACCAGUCCUCCCAUACAUUUUCAAACUGAUGUGUAAACCCCAGGUCAGGUUUGGGUUGGUCUCUUUUAGUAACUGGAAUCAUGCUGUGUGUGUUGUUCUUUGAUAUGCUUGUUGGAGAUGUUUCCAGUGCAGCACACUCCUUUUAGCCUCUGCAUGAUGGUCCAUAGAAUCAGUGUUCACCAUCCUGAUGGACAUUUGGGUUGUUUCAUUCUGCUCUAAUUGUGCCCACUUUCGUGCACACAUUUGAGUACAGGGCUGGGGUUUGGGGGGAGAGUCUCAGUGUGAGUCCCUGCCCAUCUCAAGAGAAGGAGUGUUGACUUGGCAUCCAGCAGGCACCCCACUGUAGCCAAGCCGGGUGGGAGAGCAGCGGAUUUGUGGAUUUGGGACUCAGAAGUCCAAAGGCACCAAUGUGACCAGGUAAGGGUUUGCUUCUGGGCUACAGAAAGGGCUGCAGGCCCAGACAUGUCCACUAGAUGGCGCCAAAGCCAGUACAAUGAGGCCUGGGCUUCGAAGCCCCAGUUGCUGCAGGGGAAGUGAGUAGUUCCAGUGUCUGACUCCUUAGACCCUAGAAGAUAGGUGAAGAUUCUUUCAAGGUGCCAGUUGCCUUACUUAUACACCUUGGAGGUUGUGGGGAGCAGAGCAACCAUGCACUCAUGGUUUUACAGGUAGAGCCCUGCCUGAGGGCUCUGGCCAUGAUGGGGGCUGAAAUUCAGGCUGUGGGACAUAGAUGACAACCCAGGGGAGAAGCUGUUUCUUCUAAUUCAUACAAGUUUAGAAAGUGCCUGUGGUGGCCGGGGUCGGGGAGAAACUACAGCAAGACAGCUGGCGCUCCGUAUUGCAGUACCUGCAGAGGAACUCAGCUCCUGGGGCCCAAUGAGACCAGGAUUCUCUCUGCUGGGCACUGAAGGUUCCUGAUGGCUCUAGAUAGUCCUGUCUCUGGAAGAAGUUCGCUGUCAGGAGACAAGGUGUGGCUGAGUGGAUUUCCUGGAGAGGGGUGAGCAUCUCCCACCACAGGAUGGUGACGUCAUGCCUGGAAUCUGGGGAGCCUGACUGCUUUGGAAGUGCUGUUCACUGAGGAGAGACUUCCCAUCUGCAUUCUCUCUCUGGGACAUGCCCCCUGGGAUCCAGGUAGGCCAUCUACACCUGAAGCCACCAAGCUGGAGGGACCACAUGUCUCCAGAGAUGUCAAGGGCCUCACUAUUCCGGUCUCAGCACAGGAGCCAGACCUGCUGACGCUGUACCCCAGUCCUUGAGCUGCCCCAGCUAACACAGAGUGGAGCAGAGAUGGGCUGGCCCUGCCCAAAUUGCACAUUCAUUAACAAAAUAAUACUGUUUUAGGUCACUCUGGUUGGGGGAAGGGGUGUUGUUUCACAGCAUCAGGAAAUGAAACACAAGACCUAAAGCUGGGGGUGACUAACCAUCUGGUUUGUCGGGGACUGAAGUUUCCAGGACUCAAGACUUUCAGUGGUAACACUGGGUGAAUCCCAGGCACAUGGAUGAAGCAGUAGUUCUCAAACUUCCUUGUGCAUCCGAAACACUUGGAGAGGGAGGGUAUAGCUCAGUGGUAGAAUUCAUGCCUAGCA
This is a non-coding RNA of Vicugna pacos (alpaca), 2843 nucleotides long. Lineage: Eukaryota; Metazoa; Chordata; Mammalia; Artiodactyla; Camelidae. The record is from RefSeq and is a predicted model, not a curated record.